UUAGCUUCGACGAUGGAUCGGUCGAUUCGCGUAUCGAUGAAAAACGCAGCUAGCUGUGUUAUUUACCACGAAUUGCAGACGCUUAGAGUGGUGAAAUUUUGAACGCAUAGCGUCGUUGGGUUUUCCCUUCGACACAUCUGGUUCAGGGUUG
RNAcentral lists this ribosomal RNA (151 nucleotides) under Oslerus rostratus. Its description in RNAcentral is "5.8S ribosomal RNA". It matches the Rfam family "5.8S ribosomal RNA". Rfam says of the family: 5.8S ribosomal RNA (5.8S rRNA) is a component of the large subunit of the eukaryotic ribosome. It is transcribed by RNA polymerase I as part of the 45S precursor that also contains 18S and 28S rRNA. Functionally, it is thought that 5.8S rRNA may be involved in ribosome translocation. The record is from RNAcentral. Lineage: Eukaryota; Metazoa; Nematoda; Chromadorea; Rhabditida; Filaroididae.